RNAcentral lists this ribosomal RNA (230 nucleotides) under uncultured microorganism. RNAcentral describes it as "partial 16S ribosomal RNA". It matches the Rfam family "Bacterial small subunit ribosomal RNA", at positions 524 to 753 of the family's 1533-position model. The record is from RNAcentral.
UACGGAGGGUGCAAGCGUUGUCCGGAUUUAUUGGGUUUAAAGGGUGCGUAGGCGGGGGAUUAAGUCAGUGGUGAAAGUCUUGGGCUCAACCCAGGAAUUGCCAUUGAUACUGAUUUUCUUGAGUGUCGAUGGGGUACAUGGAAUUUAUGGUGUAGCGGUGAAAUGCAUAGAUACCAUAAGGAACACCGAUAGCGAAGGCAUUGUACUUAUCGAUAACUGACGCUGAGGCA